UAUGCUUUCAUUACACAGAAUGAUGGUGGUAAUGGGAAGUCGGCCUUGGAUAAGUAUCUAGACGAACCGGUUGUAGAUAACAUAAUGGCGUUUGAGACCUGGAAUGUUCUCUCCUAUUGGAGAGACAAUGCUAAUCGAUUGAAGGAGCUAGCAUCAAUGGCCUGUGACGUUUUAAGUAUACCCAUUACCACGGUUGCUUCAGAAUCAUCCUUCAGCAUUGGAAGCCGUGUAUUGAACAAGUACAGAAGCAGCCUUCUCCCGUCGAAUGUUCGAGCACUGAUUUGUGCUAGGAAUUGGCUAAGGGGAUUUGAAUCUUUAGACUGUGAUGAAGUGGAGGAACUUGGAGAAGAAGUCAAGGAGAAACUUGACUGAGUUCAUGUGUGAUAAACUGGCCUUGGAAUAAGAUGGAAGAGAAGAUAAUGCAGAGCUACACUUAUGCUUUUUAUAUGAACCUAUGUAUGCACUUAUUACAUUUAUGGAGUUUGAACUUAUGCUUUUGGAUUUAUGGAAUUUAUGCUUUUUAUAUGAACGAAUAAACCUAUGUAUGCAGUAUAUGCACUUAUUAUUACAUGUAAUGGAGUCUGAAUUUGUGAAUUAUGAAUUUAUGUUUUUUCAUAUAUGGUCUAUUAUGGACAGUGGUAGUCCAUGAAAAUAUGGUCCUUAAUGGACAUGGACUUAAAUGGAUAUGGUCCUUAAUGGACAUGGUCAGUCUAUGUCCACCAACAUUAAAUGGACAUAUGGAAAUGGGUAUAUGGACAUGGACUAGCCCACUUUACAGC
Long non-coding RNA from Raphanus sativus (radish), 779 nucleotides. RefSeq lists it as uncharacterized. NCBI's taxonomy places the organism in Eukaryota, Viridiplantae, Streptophyta, Magnoliopsida, Brassicales, Brassicaceae. The transcript has 3 exons. The record is from RefSeq and is a predicted model, not a curated record.